UCACGAUCAAUUCUUUGAUAGUUCGCUGAAAAUUCAAACAGAAUCGUCGCAAUCCAUUCAAAGUCCCGAAAAAGUUUCGAAACCAUCAUGAACAGCGAAAAGUCAAAAUCAAGGCCAAAAGAGAAGAAAAUCAACUAUGCAUACUUGACGAAUUACGAGUGUAAAGUCUGUAACCAGCGAAUUAUAACGAUGCAGCCGGCCAAUCCGUUCUACACCUGUCGAUUGUGUGUUAAGCCCAUGGAAAUCAUUUACCAUAAAGACCUCACACGAUAUGAUAAUUAACAGCCAAAGUUCCAAAGAUUGUGAAAACAUUGUAUUCUGUUUACCAUUCUGAAGAUAAAUUCGAGAAACGAAAAUCGCACGAACCAUUGACCAUUGAUUUUUGAAACUGUUUACUUGAUUGUUGUUUGCAAUAAAGAGAAAUAAAGUGGAACCGAUUAAUUGACAAACUGUUUCAAUCUUUUCAUGUGUAUAAAAUGAUUUCCGAAAAAUGAUCGAUCAUUUCAGCUUAGAGCCAGUACGACAGCAGUUCCUUUUUCAUUUAUAAAAAAUAAAAUUUUCAUUAUUUAUAGAAAUUCGUGGUGCUUUCUCAAUUUGCUGUGGUGCUUUACUUGUUGCAAUCAUGGGAAAUGCGAACAGCAUGGCACAGAACCAUGUUACGAUCUAUAGAUGUUCCGCGUGCAGAAAUACCGAUGUACGACUCGUCCGACCGUAUGCAUACAUUCGAUGCCCGAGAUGCAACGAAUGGAUGGACAUGUUCCCAGGAUGGGCUGAAACAGUAAGAUCGACUUAAACCUGAGGCUGUUCAUCAUAUAUCAAUUCACAUUUUCAUCAUUCAAUUGAAAUAAAAUCACUUGUUUGCCGGUUAUGAUCAAAUCUGUGUCAAAACAAAA
Molecule: long non-coding RNA, 893 nt
Organism: Sitodiplosis mosellana (orange wheat blossom midge)
Lineage: Eukaryota; Metazoa; Arthropoda; Insecta; Diptera; Cecidomyiidae
Exons: 3
Source: RefSeq, a predicted model, not a curated record